GCGAAUACCGGAGAAUGUUAUCACGGGAGACACACGGCGGGUGCUAACGUCCGUCGUGAAGAGGGAAACAACCCAGACCGCCAGCUAAGGUCCCAAAGUCAUGGUUAAGUGGGAAACGAUGUGGGAAGGCCCAGACAGCCAGGAUGUUGGCUUAGAAGCAGCCAUCAUUUAAAGAAAGCGUAAUAGCUCACUGGUCGAGUCGGCCUGCGCGGAAGAUGUAACGGGGCUAAACCAUGCACCGAAGCUGCGGCAGCGACACUUUAGUGUUGUUGGGUAGGGGAGCGUUCUGUAAGCCGUUGAAGGUGGCCUGUGAGGGUUGCUGGAGGUAUCAGAAGUGCGAAUGCUGACAUAAGUAACGAUAAAGCGGGUGAAAAGCCCGCUCGCCGGAAGACCAAGGGUUCCUGUCCAACGUUAAUCGGGGCAGGGUGAGUCGACCCCUAAGGCGAGGCCGAAAGGCGUAGUCGAUGGGAAACGGGUUAAUAUUCCCGUACUUGGUGUUACUGCGAAGGGGGGACGGAGAAGGCUAUGUUGGCCGGGCGACGGUUGUCCCGGUUUAAGCGUGUAGGUGUGUGUUCCAGGUAAAUCCGGUUCACUUUAACACUGAGGCGUGAUGACGAGGCACCACGGUGCUGAAGCAACAAAUGCCCUGCUUCCAGGAAAAGCCUCUAAGCAUCAGGUAACAUCAAAUCGUACCCCAAACCGACACAGGUGGUCAGGUAGAGAAUACCAAGGCGCUUGAGAGAACUCGGGUGAAGGAACUAGGCAAAAUGGUGCCGUAA
Molecule: ribosomal RNA, 779 nt
Filed under: Salmonella enterica subsp. salamae
Lineage: Bacteria; Pseudomonadati; Pseudomonadota; Gammaproteobacteria; Enterobacterales; Enterobacteriaceae
Description: partial 23S ribosomal RNA
Rfam family: Bacterial large subunit ribosomal RNA
Source: RNAcentral